GGUGAUAGCCCACCAGACUUGAAUUCAGUCUCACGUUCGCCAUCUAGGAGCUGGGUAACCUUGACAAGUUUCUUAAACUGAAUCUCAAUUCUCUUAUGCAUAAAAGUGGAUUUUGAGGAUUCAGUGAGGAGCAGUGAGUAAACUAACCUGGAAACGCUGACCCGUGGCUUUCCUUGGUGAAAAUGUGCCUGGUUUAUCCCCUGGAGCCACUCCCACCACUAGCUGUUCUGCAUAUGAAUUUGGGACCAUGUUUUUCUUCACACUUGGCUGGGAGCCUGAUUAUCUGAACCAUAACUAGGAGACAUGGGCAUUCUGAACAUCAAGACAGAACUGCUGAUAGAAACGGCAGAGCCCUUGCUGUUGGUUUUCUAAGUGCAGCAAGUUUCUGUGAUCCCAGGGGGAGUCUGGUCUGCCUUGGGGGUCCCGCUGGGGACAGAGUGGGCUCUAACCUGGAGGCACCAACCUGAACCUGGCUGACACUUAAGCUGACAAAACUUCAGCAGAGACGCAGGAACCAUCACUUCAGAAGCGCCGGGGCCUUUGAACUGAGGCUAGGCGGCUGGCCUAGAAAGUGGAGCAGGCACGCAGGCAGUCCUAACGAGGCGGGCUGGGGGGUCAAAGCCUUAUUUGCGUUCAUUUCACUCAUUAUUAUGUGGCAUUAGGGAAAUUUUCGGCUGAGCAGAGUGCCCUUGACAUGUAACUUCCUGUGCUCUCUGG
This 717-nucleotide long non-coding RNA is filed under the name Equus asinus (donkey). Its description in RNAcentral is "lncRNA (ENSEASG00005030418.1)". The record is from RNAcentral. Lineage: Eukaryota; Metazoa; Chordata; Mammalia; Perissodactyla; Equidae.